Molecule: long non-coding RNA, 4926 nt
Organism: Nicotiana attenuata
Lineage: Eukaryota; Viridiplantae; Streptophyta; Magnoliopsida; Solanales; Solanaceae
Exons: 2
Source: RefSeq, a predicted model, not a curated record
UAUUGUAAUGGUUGCUUAUCUAUUUUGUAUUUCUCAUUUGACUAGUGUUUUAGUUUGGUUAAAUUAGCUCCAGCAGCAACACCUGUUGAAUGAAUGCCUAGAAUGUGAAUGUGCUCCUAACCUGGCUGCUUUUGAUAAGUGUGCAUAUGCUAUUGUGAAUGCUUCAGAAGAUAUAGAACAGACGUUAUGAACUUGGGCGUUGGAAAGGGUGUGCUCCAAGGAGAAGUUCCUUUUCCUCUGCUGGAAAUUGUUGAAAUCACAAAUAUGUCUGCUUAUGCUUGCAUCUUCUGUUUACGACUUAUUUAUAUUAUGGUUAUGUUGCUUGUGUUUGGAUUGCAUUGUCCUUAUUUGGGUUUCCCCAUGACCUUGUCCACUUCUUUAUUCUAUAAAUAUUAUUCUUAACUUCCUGUAUUUCUGGAUGAUAGAUCUUGUAAGAAUAUUGAGUGUUAUAACUUAGUAUAACAACAAUGUGUCCUAACGGUAUGUGUACAUGGUUUAAAUCUAGGCUUAAUACCCAAUUUGAUACCUAUACUUGCACAAUUUUCAAAUAGACAUCUCAACUUGGUUAGAACACACGUUUUAAACACCUCCGGCCCUUAGUGUUCCUCACUUGCCUUGAUGGAGAACAUAUCAGAUCCACGUCAGGUGAAUUCAUGCCACUUUAUCACUAUCUUGUAGGACAAAGAAAAACUUUUUGUCUUUUCUUCUCCAUUUUUCUUCCUCCAAUGUUGAAGUUUAAGCUUUUUAAUUUGUCUUCACCAUUAUUGAUGUCUAAAUCUCUCUUUCCUCUCUAAAAUGUUUAGUAAAUCCUGAAUUUGACCCCAUAGGCAAGUUUACGCAAGAUUACAUAGAAGCUGCAAAUUCCUUUCCCUUUACUCGCUUUUCUUUUUUCCUUCAGAUCUCUCCCAAGGUUUUUCAAUCAGUGGAGAUAUCCCCAGACUUAAGUAACCUCCUGUUAAUGCAUAACAUUUAGUUUCAAAAUAUCUGAUACAGAAUCUUAUCUCCAACCUAAAAUUAAUUACUACUGGUGUGCUUUAUUAGGUAAUUUAAGGCUGUACCAGACAUUUUCUUCUUCUUAAAUAGGCUUCACAGUUAACACCCAGAUCAGUAUCACUACUGGGUUAGAUUGAGAAGCCUUUAGGCUUUGAAGAAGAGAAAACCAACAAUGGGGACCCAAAAAAGAAGUUUUGCAUGUGGGCUGAAGCUUCUAAAAGGGGAAAAGGGCGAGAGAUACGAAACAGGGAAAUUGAGGUUGACAAUGAAGGGUUGCUUCUAUAUCAGAUGUUUGACUCAGAUGUUCAAAAAUGGAGGAAUGGUGGAGGAUUUCUUGCUGUUGGUAGCUAUAUUUUUCAGCUUCGCUCCUAAAGUCAUGUAUACCAUGCACUUUGUCCAAUUCAUCCAUAUCAAUGCCACAUAAGCUCGGUCAAUUGUCAGAGGCAUUUAAAACAAUAGGUUUGUACGGGUUUAUGUGUCUGGUUGAACCCAUGGAGAUGAAGGGCUGAGAAUAGAAAUCUUUACAAGUACGAAUGUCAAUUUGGGUAUUAAGCGUUAAUUCUAUUAAGCCACUGUAACUCCAUUUCAUGGGCUCUUAUCUUUAAAAUAAUUUCUCUCUAUUAAGUUGUGAUUCUUCGAGUUAACAAAGAACCAACCGACCAGGAUCAAGAUCUUGAAACGAAAACGUGGUUUGUGGGUCGAUUUCAAGAAACAAUGUAUCUCAAGUUUUAGGACUCGGAAUCUAAUGAUUCAAAAACGAGGUGAAAGAUAACGAUCUGAACUAUAAGAAAGACUAUUUACUCAUUCAAAACAAGUAAAUAUUGAUGCUGCACCAGUUCAAUAAAAGUUAUGAUUCUAUGAUAUCAAAAGAACGAAUUUAGAUCAAGAAACGUGUUCUUGAAAGAUCAAGAACUAAACAAGUUCCUAAAGUCGCCACUUGGAAGCAAUUAACGUGAUAAAGAAACACCACACGCAACCGAAAACAAGAUAAAGACUUCACCACCUUGCUUGGAACCAAAAACAAGGAUAAAGAAGACAAAAUAGAGAAGAACACUCUACUGUAAAACUAGGGCAAGCCUUAACAACGUGAAUUCUUUUCUUCUACAAGGAAAGAGAACUCUUUUUUGAUGUCUACAAUUCCUAUUCUAUAAGAAAAUAAAAUAACUAAAGACAAGAAAAGUAAAAUCCCUAUUCUACAAAGAAAAGAAACUAGAAUCCUACUAAAAGGAAAAUCCUUAUUCUAAAAGGAAUAAAAUAAAUCAUAUUUUAAGAAUGAAAGAAUCUUGACUUCUUGAAUUCAAUCUUGAGCUUCUUGGACUUCUUGCGCUUCUUGAAAAUAAGUCCAUAUUUUUGGACUUGAGCUCUAAAACAUGAUCUUUGCCACAAUUAAUAAAAUUUAACAUAGAUUCUAUGUUUACAUCAUUCUCCCCUGGUUGAGAAGACUCGUCCUCGAGUCUAAAGGCUCCACAAAUGGCACAAGAUUGACAACUUCCAUGAUUUUGUUGAACUCAUAUUCACCAGGCUCUAAGUUGUAUUUGUCUAACUUGUCAAAGAGUUUCAUCGUAUUGUAACAAAGUUUAGCAUGUGGCCGAACUAAAUCACACUUUCUCAAUAGUAUCUUUGUACCAAUAUUUCUACAAUGAAUCCUCUUAAAUCUAUUUUUAACUUCCCAUAACCAUAAGUUAUUUUCUUUUGAUCUUCAAGAAUCCUGAACUUCUCCAUGUCAAUGUGGUACUUAUGGGAUAUGCCCAAAAAAGUUGAUUUAGUGCCACAAAAACCUUUAAAAGAAUCAAAUUCAAGUACCUUUGGAUCAAGCUUGGAGAUUGAAGUAUAUCUUCUUGAGAAUUCAUCAGCAACAACAACUCUCAUAUUUAACUAUAUCAAAGUCAUAACCAUUGAUGGAAUUUGUGUUAAGAUUUCCUGUUCCUACAUAUGCUUGAAAAUAUUCAUUCUUUGGAGGUAAGAAAAAAGCUGGAAUAAAAUAUGAACUCAAACCCUCCAUUAUGAACUCCUCUUUAAGCAACCCUUUCUCUCGUAUUUGCAAAAUUUCAUGGACUUCUGGAUUAAUGCAAUAUGUUACCUCGUUUGGAAAGAUAAAAUCAACAAUCAAAUCAAUAUUAUGUUGAGCAUCUCUAUUAGGUGAAAAGUUAAGCACACAUAUGGGAUGCUCCAACGGAUCAUCAUGAAACUUCAAAGGUAAAUCCUCAACUUGUGGAUCUAGUGCAUGCUCCUCCUCCUUGUGCUCUUCCAUAGUAAUACCAACAUUCAAAGACUUUUCUCUAUUGAUUGGACCAAUUGUUUGUAAUUUGGUGACAAAAGAGUCAUUCUUGGGCUUCAGAUUUUUAGCAAUUUCUUCGGGAUUCAAUGGUACUAAAAUAACCUUACGUUCAUCCUUUAUAAAAGAAUAGGUGUUAAGGUCUUCAUCAUAUUUAGCACACAUUUCAUACACGCAUCGAUGCUUGUAAUAAGUGACAAGCAUCCAUCUUCACUACGUCACACCAAAUAUGGUCUUUAUAGAUCUUACCAAUAGAAAAAGAUAUUAGGCAUUGACAAGUUACCUCUAAACCAUCAUCAUCUUCAACUUCGAUGCUGUAAGGAUAUGGAUGAAGUUUGGUUGACAAACCAAGUUUAGUAGCCAUCUCUUCAGAAAUGAUAUUUAUGUGACUCCCAUGAUCAAUGAUCAACGAACAGACUUUUCCAUAGGAGAUACAUCUGGUGUGGAAAAGAGAUUCUUGUUGCCACUGUUCUUUAUCUUCUUGAACCAAGAAUGUUCCUCUUGGUUGAAUCUUGGCCAUGAUAAAUUCGCAACCUGCGACCUGUGAAUUAUAGCUCUGAUACCAAAUUGAUGUGAUUCUUCGAGUUAACAAAGAACCAACCGACCAGGAUCAAGAUCUUGAAACGAAAACGUGGUUUGUGGGUCGAUUUCAAGAAACAAUGUAUCUCAAGUUUUAGGACUCGGAAUCUAAUGAUUCAAAAACGAGGUGAAAGAUGACGAUCUGAACUAUAAGAAAGACUAUUUACUCAUUCAAAACAAGUAAAUAUUGAUGAUGCACCAGUUCAAUAAAAGUAAUGAUUCUCUGAUAUCAAAAUAACAAAUUUUGAUCAAGAAACAUGUUCUUGAAAGAUCAAGAACUAAACAAGUUCCUAAAGUCACCACUUGGAAUCAAUUAACGUGAAUAAGAAACACCACACGCAACUGAAAACAAGAUAAAGACUAUCAGCACCUUGCUUGGAACCAAAAACAAAGAUAAAGAAGACAAAAUAGAGAAAAACACUAUUGUAAAACUAGGUCAAGCGUCAAAAAAUGUGAAUUAUUUUCUUCUACAAGGCAAGAGAACCCUUUAUAUAGGCUUAGGUCUCUUCUUUGAUGUCUACAAUUCCUAUUCUAAUAAGAAAAUAAAAUAACUAAAGACAAGAAAAGUAAAAUCCCUAUUCUACAAAGAAAAGAAACUAGAAUCCUACUAAAAGGAAAAUCCUUAUUCUAAAAGGAAUAAAAUAAAUCCUAUCUUAAGAAGGAAGGAAUCUUGACUUCUUGAAAUCAAUCUUGAGCUUCUUGGACUUCUCGCACUUCUUGAAAAUAAGUCCAUAUGUUUGGACUUGAGCUCUAAAACAUGAUCUUUGCCACAAUUAAUAAAAUUUAACAUAGAUUCUUCGUUUACAUCAUCUCUCUUCUUGAACUCUUCGUCUAGUCAAGUACAACAAAGCAAAUUGUUAUGGAGCUACUUUUGGGAUGCUUUAUGAACUGGUAUACAAUUUACUGGGAAAGGGUAUUCUCAUAUAUCAUUUAAUUCAACUCCAAGUGAGAAUAUCUCAUUAUUCAUAAUUUACUGGUUUUAAAUCAUUGUCAGAGUUCAUGCAUCUCCUAGUCUGUUGUUUUUCCCCUGACAAAAUAAAUUAUGAUUUUCUGUUGUGCUCCCCCCCCCCCCCCCCCCC